GCUUGAGCACGUAGGUGGGUUUGUAAGUCAGGUGUGAAAGCCUUCUGUUCAACGGGAGAAUUGCAUCCGAAACUACGAAUCUUGAGUGUAGGAGGGGAGAAUGGAACUUCUGGUGGAGCGGUGAAAUGCGUAGAUAUCAGAAGGAACGCCGGCGGCGAAAGCGAUUCUCUGGCCUAUUACUGACACUCAGUGUGCGAAAGCUAGGGGAGCAAACGGGAUUAGAUACCCCGGUAGUCCUAGCCGUAAACGAUGGGCACUAAGUAGAGGGGAUUACCGACGUUCUCUCUGCCGUAGCUAACGCAUUAAGUGCCCCGCCUGGGGAGUACGGCCGCAAGGCUAAAACUCAAAAGAAUUGACGGGGGCUCGCACAAGCGGUGGAGCAUGUGGCUUAAUUCGAUGCAACGCGAAGAACCUUACCGGGGCUUGACAUGGUAGAAGUAGGAACCCGAAAGGGUAACGAACGGUAUCCAGUCCGUGACUAUCACAGGUGUUGCAUGGCUGUCGUCAGCUCGUGUCGUGAGACGUUGGGUUAAGUCCCCUAACGAGCGAAACCCUUGUUUUUAGUUACCAGCGGGUUAUGCCGGGUACUCUAGAAAGACUGCCGUCGUCAAGACGGAGGAAGGUGGGGAUGACGUCAAGUCAUCAUGGCCCUUAUGCCCCGGGCUGCACACGUGCUACAAUGGUCGGUACAAACGGAAGCGAAGCCGAGAGGUGAAGCGAAUCCAAGC
Molecule: ribosomal RNA, 728 nt
Filed under: uncultured Planctomycetota bacterium
Lineage: Bacteria; Pseudomonadati; Planctomycetota
Description: bacterial SSU rRNA
Rfam family: Bacterial small subunit ribosomal RNA
Source: RNAcentral